RNAcentral lists this ribosomal RNA (1048 nucleotides) under Pseudomonas aeruginosa. Its description in RNAcentral is "bacterial SSU rRNA". It matches the Rfam family "Bacterial small subunit ribosomal RNA", at positions 36 to 1061 of the family's 1533-position model. The record is from RNAcentral. Lineage: Bacteria; Pseudomonadati; Pseudomonadota; Gammaproteobacteria; Pseudomonadales; Pseudomonadaceae.
CUUAGCAGGCAAGCUACAAGAUGCGAAGUCGAGCGGAUGAAGGGAGCUUGCUCCUGGAUUCAGCGGCGGACGGGUGAGUAAUGCCUAGGAAUCUGCCUGGUAGUGGGGGAUAACGUCCGGAAACGGGCGCUAAUACCGCAUACGUCCUGAGGGAGAAAGUGGGGGAUCUUCGGACCUCACGCUAUCAGAUGAGCCUAGGUCGGAUUAGCUAGUUGGUGGGGUAAAGGCCUACCAAGGCGACGAUCCGUAACUGGUCUGAGAGGAUGAUCAGUCACACUGGAACUGAGACACGGUCCAGACUCCUACGGGAGGCAGCAGUGGGGAAUAUUGGACAAUGGGCGAAAGCCUGAUCCAGCCAUGCCGCGUGUGUGAAGAAGGUCUUCGGAUUGUAAAGCACUUUAAGUUGGGAGGAAGGGCAGUAAGUUAAUACCUUGCUGUUUUGACGUUACCAACAGAAUAAGCACCGGCUAACUUCGUGCCAGCAGCCGCGGUAAUACGAAGGGUGCAAGCGUUAAUCGGAAUUACUGGGCGUAAAGCGCGCGUAGGUGGUUCAGCAAGUUGGAUGUGAAAUCCCCGGGCUCAACCUGGGAACUGCAUCCAAAACUACUGAGCUAGAGUACGGUAGAGGGUGGUGGAAUUUCCUGUGUAGCGGUGAAAUGCGUAGAUAUAGGAAGGAACACCAGUGGCGAAGGCGACCACCUGGACUGAUACUGACACUGAGGUGCGAAAGCGUGGGGAGCAAACAGGAUUAGAUACCCUGGUAGUCCACGCCGUAAACGAUGUCGACUAGCCGUUGGGAUCCUUGAGAUCUUAGUGGCGCAGCUAACGCGAUAAUUCGACCGUCCUGGGGGGAGUACGGCCGCAAGGUUGAAUACUCCAAAUGAAAUUGGACGGGGGGCCCGCACAAAGCGGUGGAAGCCAUGUUGGUUAAAUUCGAAGGCAAACGCGAAAGAACCCUUACCUGGCCCUUGACAUUGCUGAGAAACUUUCCAGAAGAAUGGAAUGGUGGCCCUUCCGGGAACUCAAACACCCAGGGUGCCUGCAAUUG